Molecule: ribosomal RNA, 484 nt
Filed under: uncultured bacterium
Lineage: Bacteria
Description: partial 16S ribosomal RNA
Rfam family: Bacterial small subunit ribosomal RNA
Source: RNAcentral
AUUGAACGCUGGCGGCAGGCCUAACACAUGCAAGUCGAGCGGAUGAAGGGAGCUUGCUCCUGGAUUCAGCGGCGGACGGGUGAGUAAUGCCUAGGAAUCUGCCUGGUAGUGGGGGAUAACGUCCGGAAACGGGCGCUAAUACCGCAUCCGUCCUGAGGGAGAAAGUGGGGGAUCUUCGGACCUCACGCUAUCAGAUGAGCCUAGGUCGGAUUAGCUAGUUGGUGGGGUAAAGGCCUACCAAGGCGACGAUCCGUAACUGGUCUGAGAGGAUGAUCAGUCACACUGGAACUGAGACACGGUCCAGACUCCUACGGGAGGCAGCAGUGGGGAAUAUUGGACAAUGGGCGAAAGCCUGAUCCAGCCAUGCCGCGUGUGUGAAGAAGGUCUUCGGAUUGUAAAGCACUUUAAGUUGGGAGGAAGGGAAGUAAGAUAAUACCUUGCUGUUUUGACGUUACCAACAGAAUAAGCACCGGCUAACUUCGUG